RNAcentral lists this non-coding RNA (29 nucleotides) under Rattus norvegicus (Norway rat). Lineage: Eukaryota; Metazoa; Chordata; Mammalia; Rodentia; Muridae. The record is from RNAcentral.
UUUGAUGUCUAGAGCCUUUAGUUAUGGUU